Zea mays is the source of this 1036-nucleotide long non-coding RNA. RefSeq lists it as uncharacterized. The record is from RefSeq and is a predicted model, not a curated record. The transcript is spliced from 4 exons. Lineage: Eukaryota; Viridiplantae; Streptophyta; Magnoliopsida; Poales; Poaceae.
AAUUGGUGCAAAUGGAUCUGGCAAAUCAAAUUUCUUUCAUGCUAUACGAUUUGUCCUGAGUGACAUGUUUCAGAACCUGCGAAGUGAGGAUAGGGGUGCCCUUCUCCAUGAAGGUGCUGGACACUCGGUUGUAUCUGCUUUUGUUGAGAUAGUGUUUGACAAUUCAGACAACUGUAUUCCAGUAAGUCCUCUAACCUAUUCAGAUUUUAGUUUACUUAUUUCAGUCUAUCUUCUAGAGUCUCAGGUUGCAUAUUUUGUUGAAAAUAGCAACACCUAGAUCUCUUAUGGUAGGCACUCAUUUAAUUAUCAGCUCCGUGCAUUACUGGUUCAUGUAUGGAAGCUGACGGCAUCACUCCAGUUCCAAAUGAGUGUUCUAUCUUUAGGUGGAGUUAAGUCUGUUAAUCUGUUUGUUGUUAUGAAUGGACUAAGUACAACAACAUGGAGCCAGAUGCUGUUGAUUUCUUUGGGGAAUGUAUGAAUAGUCCCUGAAAUGGUCGUACUCCGCUUGCAAAUGAGAUAUAUGAGCAAAUGGUUGCAGAGAAGGAAAGAGAGCUAGAAGAAGGAGAAGCACAAAAGUCACCCUCCAAGAUUGUUGCUGAUAGUCUCAGCCAGAUCAGCCGCUCAUCCACCUUCCUUCCAAACAUUGGUGUCCCUACAACGUCCAAGACUGGUCGGUCCACAUCGCUAGCUGCACAAGCACACAUGCAGGUUCAGUUUGAGGAAAAACUCCAAGCUGAAAGAGAGGAAGCUGCUAGGAAGCAGGAAGAGUUGCAAGCACAACUACAAGCUCAACAGGCCGCACUUGAAGAAAACCAAAGUUUGUUGCGCCAGACCCAAGAGGAAGUGAAGGGGAUGCAUACCAAGUUUGAAGAGACCAAUGCACUGCUACGAGCUGUCCUAAAACUUUAGAAAGAUUGAGGUAGGGAUGCAUACCAUGUCUGAGCAUGAUGCCUUUGCUUAAGGUUUUUCUACCUUGCUAGAACAUAUCUGUGGUUAGAACUUUGUCAGAACUACGUGCAAUCUGUUUGAAUGCUUC